Molecule: long non-coding RNA, 310 nt
Filed under: Musa acuminata (dwarf banana)
Lineage: Eukaryota; Viridiplantae; Streptophyta; Magnoliopsida; Zingiberales; Musaceae
Description: long non-coding RNA (MACU_LNC006913)
Source: RNAcentral
AAUUUCAUUUUGGACGAAAGUCGAGGGGUGAUGAAGCAUCCAUUGGCAAGAUGAAGCAUGAAAGGUUUCUUUCGUAUCUAGUUGAGUGCAGCAUGCAACUUCUUUUACUGGAAAUUUCAAGUGCAACCUCCUGGAUGGCUUCUUCUAAGUGCAGCUUCCAGGCCACUGUUAGUAGUGCUUGAAAGCUGCAUGAGCAGAUUAUACAUCACCAUGUUCGACACCUGUGCGUGCUCAUGGCUACGAAACUCGGGCUAUAUUUAUUACUAAGAUCUCUGACCAAAACUGCUUGCAGAAAGAUAUUUAAUUCCCC